RNAcentral lists this ribosomal RNA (460 nucleotides) under uncultured bacterium. Its description in RNAcentral is "partial 16S ribosomal RNA". It matches the Rfam family "Bacterial small subunit ribosomal RNA", at positions 338 to 795 of the family's 1533-position model. The record is from RNAcentral.
CCUACGGGAGGCAGCAGUGAGGAAUAUUGGUCAAUGGACGAGAGUCUGAACCAGCCAAGUAGCGUGAAGGAUGACUGCCCUAUGGGUUGUAAACUUCUUUUAUAUGGGAAUAAAAUGUUCCACGUGUGGGAUUUUGUAUGUACCAUAUGAAUAAGGAUCGGCUAACUCCGUGCCAGCAGCCGCGGUAAUACGGAGGAUCCGAGCGUUCUCCGGAUUUAUUGGGUUUAAAGGGAGCGUAGGUGGAUUGUUAAGUCAGUUGUGAAAGUUUGCGGCUCAACCGUAAAAUUGCAGUUGAAACGGGCAGUCUUGAGUACAGUAGAGGUGGGCGGAACUCGUGGUGUAGCGGUGAAAUGCUUAGAUAUCACGAAGAACUCCGAUUGCGAAGGCAGUUCACUGGACUGCAACUGACACUGAGGCUCGAAAGUAUGGGUAUCAAACAGGAUUAGAUACCCCUGUAGUC